GUCGUCCGAUUAAAUCAGACCGGUCAGGAGGAAACACCCAUGAGGCCUUGACCCACUCCCUCUGGUCCACCACCCACUCCCCGUCCCCUCACUCUCCGUCCCCUCCUUCUUCCUCUGCCUCAAUCCCUGCCGAUGCAUCGCCGGGGACCCCAGCCACCACACCCUGCUAGCCCCUCCAUCCUACCUCUGCCGACCUGUCCCGACCCCCUCCAUUAUCAACCGCCGCCGCGCCGCCCAGACCCGAGCAGCGUCGCGCAACUACCUGUGCUCCUCCCCUAGCGCUACCCCAGCAAUCCCGUCGUGCUCGGGAUGAACGGCAGUGUCACCUUGCGCCAGAUUUGGGCCACCCCGUGCAGGAUCCGCACCGCCAGCAUCAGAUCCCGUGGGUUCUCUUCUCGUACAUGGCGGCCUCCCGCCCCCAGGCCAUGGAUCGCCUACAUGGCUAGCAGGGCCGGUUUUUUGGGGUGGUAGGAGCCCGUCGAUGGAGGGGAACCACGGCCGCCGACAUCGCCGGAACAGCUCCGCUUCUCGUACACCAAUGGAACUGGGGUUCAUUGGGAGAGGGGAUCCAAGGGGACUGGAGUGUUGUAUAGAGCAAUCUGAUUCGGCUGCAGAGCCUCUCUUCCUCCUCUAUCUCCUUCGAAGCAGGGGCGGAGGAGGGUGACGGUCGUUGUCGACGGUGUGCUUAUUCCGGCAAGCGGGAAGGGGGUUCUACAAUAGAAAUCAGUGGUGAGCGUCAUCUAAAUCGUUUUUUUCAUGCGCUUCUCUAAUGAUGCCCCGGGGGAGGUCUGUGAUAGAGUAGUGUCGAUUUCACGGGGGGAAGGGGGCAGCCGGCGAGUGAAUUUUGGUUGCAAGGGACGAGCAUUUCCAUUUUGUCGUAGGUGACAUUUUUAGAGGGAGGGAAUGGGGGUGGAUACAUGUGUGUAUCUGCAGGUGUCGAAAUAAGAAUGGCGAGUUGAUGUCUUCGAUUUGUUUGGCGAUAAGAUUCUACUCGCAAUAGGCAUUAUCUGAACCAGGUGAGUUUUUCUAGAGGGUCGGUGUUGAAAGCUACUAUGAGAGAGGCUACGAGUUGCCUGAUAUGCGUUACCAGUUUGCCUGACUUUUCCCCUUCACACAACUUGCCUGACGCUAGUCAUGUAGGUGUCUGACUUUUUAUCCGUCGAUGCUUCUGAUUUUUGUUGUCUUAGUAUCAUUUUUACUGAAUCAAUGUUUCGCCAGAUUGACUACAGCAAUUGUAUUACUUGCAAAUUUGGUACUACAUACUGAAAUGUUUUUGGAAGCAGCGGCAGCAACAAUUUUUUACUUUUAACUUUUGUACUACAUACUGAAAUGUUUUUUGGAAUAGUGAAAAACAAAAAUGAACGCAGAUUCAUUGGCCGUUCUGGCUGAAAGAUGGGGCACAUCAGCCUCCAGAACCAGCUGAGGUGCUAGAAUUUGACAUGGAGGGGAGGUGCUAAAACAGUAUGCAUGCAUGAUGCAUGUGGUCAUGUUCUUCGUCCACUAAAGUGUGGUACCAUACUAUCAAGUUGCAUAAUCAGUCCAGGGCUGAGUUGCUGGAUGGAGAAAUGAAUCUUGUCUAGUUAUCUUAUUUGUUGUCUAAUUUGUUCAAACAAAGCAAACAGACUGAAAGGCCUGAAUUGUUGACAUGUCCUGCUAUGACCAUCAAAUAGUUUGCUGGUCCUUCUCUGCUUGUUAUGUAGAUUUACUUCUCUUUUUCUGUCCAGACUUCUCUUUUACCGUUUUCACAAAGACUAUCAUGAGUUACCUUACAUGUGCAUAUCUCGUCUAAAACUUUUUUGGUCUACUCUUUUUUCGCUAGCUAGUUGCUUGAGAUGGUUCCAAAACAUGCUAGUAGAGAUAUUUACACAUAAAUAUUUUUUCUUAAAGAAUCAAGAUCGUGCAUGUCGCCGUAUGUGGGAAGGGUGUGGUGUUUCAUUUUUUAGCAUAGGUUCAUAUACCUUUCUUUUAGUCUAGGUUUCACAUAUAUGACUGAAAACUUGUAAAUAUGAGAUUCCCUC
This 2018-nucleotide ribosomal RNA is filed under the name Triticum aestivum (bread wheat). Its description in RNAcentral is "partial small subunit ribosomal RNA". The record is from RNAcentral. Lineage: Eukaryota; Viridiplantae; Streptophyta; Magnoliopsida; Poales; Poaceae.